AACGAACGCUGGCGGCAUGCCUAACACAUGCAAGUCGAACGAGACCUUCGGGUCUAGUGGCGCACGGGUGCGUAACGCGUGGGAACCUGCCCUUAAGUUCGGAAUAACUCCCCGAAAGGGGUGCUAAUACCGGAUAAUGUCUUCGGACCAAAGAUUUAUCGCCUUUGGAUGGGCCCGCGUUGGAUUAGCUAGUUGGUAGGGUAAAAGCCUACCAAGGCGACGAUCCAUAGCUGGUCUGAGAGGAUGAUCAGCCACACUGGGACUGAGACACGGCCCAGACUCCUACGGGAGGCAGCAGUGGGGAAUAAUGGACAAUGGGCGAAAGCCUGAUCCAGCAAUGCCGCGUGAGUGAUGAAGGCCUUAGGGUUGUAAAGCUCUUUUACCCGGGAUGAUAAUGACAGUACCGGGAGAAUAAGCUCCGGCUAACUCCGUG
Molecule: ribosomal RNA, 433 nt
Filed under: uncultured bacterium
Lineage: Bacteria
Description: partial 16S ribosomal RNA
Rfam family: Bacterial small subunit ribosomal RNA
Source: RNAcentral